CUACGCACUCUACGGGAGGCAGCAUGGGGAAUAUUGCACAAUGGGCGCAAGCCUGAUGCAGCCAUGCCGCGUGUAUGAAGAAGGCCUUCGGGUUGUAAAGUACUUUCAGCAGUGAGGAAGGUGGGUAUGUUAAUAGCAUACUCAUUUGACGUUAGCUGCAGAAGAAGCACCGGCUAACUCCGUGCCAGCAGCCGCGGUAAUACGGAGGGUGCGAGCGUUAAUCGGAAUUACUGGGCGUAAAGCGCAUGCAGGUGGUUUGUUAAGUCAGAUGUGAAAGCCCGGGGCUCAACCUCGGAAUUGCAUUUGAAACUGGCAAACUAGAGUACUGUAGAGGGGGUAGAAUUUCAGGUGUAGCGGUGAAAUGCGUAGAGAUCUGAAGGAAUACCGGUGGCGAAGGCGGCCCCCUGGACAGAUACUGACACUCAGAUGCGAAAGCGUGGGGAGCAAACAGGAUUAGAUACCCUGGUAG
This 469-nucleotide ribosomal RNA is filed under the name uncultured bacterium. Its description in RNAcentral is "bacterial SSU rRNA". It matches the Rfam family "Bacterial small subunit ribosomal RNA", at positions 329 to 793 of the family's 1533-position model. The record is from RNAcentral.